Rosa rugosa (rugosa rose) is the source of this 2414-nucleotide long non-coding RNA. RefSeq lists it as uncharacterized. The record is from RefSeq and is a predicted model, not a curated record. NCBI's taxonomy places the organism in Eukaryota, Viridiplantae, Streptophyta, Magnoliopsida, Rosales, Rosaceae. The transcript is spliced from 7 exons.
AAAUUAUUUCCCUCUCACCAGGCAGCAUGAUCGAGGAAGCAAAAUUGAAAAUUUUCAAGUGGCAUUCAGACAACAGAUAUGAAAAACCAUUGUCUGAGCCUUUGAGGGGCUUGUCCAUGAAUUAAACGAGGGCUUCUUAAUGCUAUUCAAAACCACGCCACCUAGCCUAUACGUCAUUUUGGGAACGAAAGAAUUGACAAAACCCAACCUUAUCUCCUUGAGAAACCCCUUCUUCGACAGACCUCGAGUCCUCGACCCUCUCCCUCUCUCUUCUUCGACACAACUCUCCCUCCCUCUUCUUGACAAGCCCCAACCUUAUCUCCUCCACAGACCCCGACCUAUCUUUUCUCUGACAAGCCCCAACAAAAGCUCUCCCUCUUCGACAAACCCCGACCAAAACCAUCUCUGCCUCUAGCUAGGUUAUUCAAUUUGGGAAAUAGGGAAGGGAAGAAAACUUAAUGGGUAGCCUCUAGGAAGUCUCAGAGCACCAAAGGGAGAGAAAGAGAGCGAUUUUUCGUUUCUAGGGUUUACUCUGCGCCAUCAAUGCGAGUUCCAAAGAUGCAGAAGCUACGGUUUCCGAGAAUGAGGAUUGAGGAGCUUGGAUCAGUUCAAGUCCCUCUCCAAAUCGGUCUCAGGAGGACCUCCAAAAGACCUUCGCCUACUCUUCACGUCCGCCGGAGUCGAGCUUGUUGGGAUGCUUGGCGAAUUUGAAGCUCACCGCAGAGAAAUUGAUGAAGGAGCAAGCUUCUGUGAAAACAGAUCUGGAAAUGGCAGUACUCUCUCUAUCUAUAUCUUCUGUACAAUGAGCCUGUGAUUUGCGAGUGUGAAUUGUUAGGGUUUGGUUCAAUUUCAUGCCAAUGUAGAUGUUUGUUGUCUCUUACUUGAAGUUCAAAGGCAUAUGAACGAGUAAUUUACUGAUAAAUGCAGAACACUAAGCUGAAAAAAUUGGUUUAAUUAGUUAGAUUCGUAGUUAAAAGGUAGAAGGUUUGUAGGUUUCUUAAAAAAUGGUGGGGAAGAUCAUAUUUUCUUUGCUACUUAUCAGAAUUAAAACUAAAAGUCUAGAACAUGUGAUAUGUUCUUCGCUAUGAAGCAUUUGCUUUCUUUGUUUUCAGUUGUAGAAAUUUUCAUAUGUGAUCUUUCUAAGGGCAAUAUGAGCUUUCAAAUGAUGUUGUACAGAUAUAAUAGAUGAAGUGAUCGUGCUGUAGUCUACACUUUUCACUAUAAGCAGAGUUUUCUUAAUGCUACAUUUUGUUUUGGUGAUGGAUGUAUGAUUGCUGCCUAGCUAUUUCAUUUAAAAGACAAUUUUUUUUUUAUUCUUUGGAUGCAUUUUAUGAUAGUAAGUCUUCUACAUACAAAUUAGAAUGGAUGAAAUAGCAGUGAUAUAGUCUGCACUAUAUCAACUAAUUUUAGGUGAGAUCUCUAUGGAAAUUGGGUGGGAAUACUAUUUAGAUUCCUUAUUAACACUGCAAAAUAACUUUCAUAUGUACAGGUUGUGGUGGCUGAUUUGGAAACAGAUAUCAUUGUUACUGAUAGAGAUACGUUUUUUUCCCUGAAAUUCUGCUGCUUUCAUGUUGGUGAUCAAGAACAUCAAAGUCAGAAGAGAGUAUUUUUGGUGUACAAAGUGGUGAUCAUUCCGCCAACCACAAGCUUUUGAGUGCAGACAAAGUCAUGUGAAUCUUUCUUCCAUCUGGAAAAUGUUUCAAUUAUUCCUUGAGCAGUUGCAUAGUGUUCUUCAAGAAAAUGAAGAAUCCAUUAGCCUAUCUUGAAAAGCAAAAGGAGCUGCUUUACCAGAAGGAUAUUUGUCUUGCAAAGUAAUACUUUCCAAUCCAAAAGUUUGUAAUAUUCAGUCAAGCAGUUUCCCACCAGAAAUCAUAACUUAUGACCAGUGGGUACAAAUGAAACCAGAACCAAAAAGUAUAUUUUCUGGUUGGAUGAAGGGUCAUUCCGUGGUGGAAAGAAAGAGAUGCAAGAACCUAUUCAUCAGAAGCUUGAUUUCAUUCUUAAUACAGCACCAAUGUGGGACAGGGAGAAGUGGAAAACCUAUCUUUAAAAAGCACAUUUCUGGCCAAGUUUGUCGUGGUGGUUUUGUUCUAAAAACAAUGAUCCAGGUUUGAAGGCUGCUUAUAAACUGGACAAUCAUGUGGAAGAUGGAGCAGUGACGAAAGCUUUUGAAGUGAUAGAGAGAAAUUUGUUUAGCUAGAAGUUGGUCUUUUUUGGGUUGGCCUUAAUUGCAGUUCUCCUAUAGAUGUGAUUGUGUGACAUUUUUAGGUACAUUUCUGGAUGUAUUUUGCUAUAAGAGUUUCAAAGAUGUGAUCCCUUAUUUUGUGGAUACAAUUAGCAUUAUCGGAUCCAUUUAGAUUGCUAUGGGAUUAUAACAGCUUUCUAUUAUGAUUAAAUUACUAUUCUUUUGGUCA